GACGAACGCUGGCGGCGUGCUUAACACAUGCAAGUCGAACGGUAAGGCCCUUCGGGGUACACGAGUGGCGAACGGGUGAGUAACACGUGGGUGAUCUGCCCUGCACUUCGGGAUAAGCCUGGGAAACUGGGUCUAAUACCGGAUAGGACUCCGGACUGCAUGGUCUGGGGUGGAAAGCUUUUGCGGUGUGGGAUGGGCCCGCGGCCUAUCAACUUGUUGGUGGGGUGAUGGCCUACCAAGGCGACGACGGGUAGCCGGCCUGAGAGGGUGACCGGCAACAUGGGGACUGGGAGACGGCCCAGAAUCCUACGGGAGGCAGCAGUGGGGAAUAUUGCACAAUGGCGCAAGCCUGAUGCAGCGACGCCGCGUGAGGGAUGACGGCCUUCGGGUUGUAAACCUCUUUCAGCACCGACGAAGCGCAAGUGACGGUAGGUGCAGAAGAAGGACCGGCCAACUACGUGCCAGCCGCCGCCGUAA
This 477-nucleotide ribosomal RNA is filed under the name uncultured bacterium. Its description in RNAcentral is "partial 16S ribosomal RNA". It matches the Rfam family "Bacterial small subunit ribosomal RNA", at positions 28 to 523 of the family's 1533-position model. The record is from RNAcentral.